This 429-nucleotide ribosomal RNA is filed under the name uncultured bacterium. RNAcentral describes it as "bacterial SSU rRNA". It matches the Rfam family "Bacterial small subunit ribosomal RNA", at positions 331 to 774 of the family's 1533-position model. The record is from RNAcentral.
CCAGACUCCUACGGGAGGCAGCAGUGGGGAAUAUUGCACAAUGGGGGAAACCCUGAUGCAGCGACGCCGCGUGAGCGAUGAAGUAUUUCGGUAUGUAAAGCUCUAUCAGCAGGGAAGAAAGAAAUGACGGUACCUGACUAAGAAGCCCCGGCUAACUACGUGCCAGCAGCCGCGGUAAUACGUAGGGGGCAAGCGUUAUCCGGAUUUACUGGGUGUAAAGGGAGCGUAGACGGCGAUGCAAGUCUGAAGUGAAAGGCGGGGGGCCAACCCCCGGACUGCUUUGGAAACUGUGUAGCGGGAGUGCAGGAGAGGUAAGUGGAAUUCCUAGUGUAGCGGUGAAAUGCGUAGAUAUUAGGAGGAACACCAGUGGCGAAGGCGGCUUACUGGACUGUAACUGACGUUGAGGCGCGAAAGCGUGGGGAGCAAACA